GGCUUAGAAGCAGCCAUCAUUUAAAGAGUGCGUAAUAGCUCACUAGUCGAGUGACACUGCGCCGAAAAUGUACCGGGGCUAAACAUAUUACCGAAGCUGUGGAUUGUCCUUUGGACAAUGGUAGGAGAGCGUUCUAAGGGCGUCGAAGCAUGAUCGCAAGGACAUGUGGAGCGCUUAGAAGUGAGAAUGCCGGUGUGAGUAGCGAAAGACGGGUGAGAAUCCCGUCCACCGAUUGACUAAGGUUUCCAGAGGAAGGCUCGUCCGCUCUGGGUUAGUCGGGUCCUAAGCUGAGGCCGACAGGCGUAGGCGAUGGAUAACAGGUUGAUAUUCCUGUACCACCUAGUAUCGUUUUAAUCGAUGGGGGGACGCAGUAGGAUAGGCGAAGCGUGCUGUUGGAGUGCACGUCCAAGCAGUAAGGCUGAGUGUUAGGCAAAUCCGGCACUCAUAAGGCUGAGCUGUGAUGGGGAGAGGAAAUUGUUUCCUCGAGUCGUUGAUUUCACACUGCCGAGAAAAGCCUCUAGAUAGAUAACAGGUGCCCGUACCGCAAACCGACACAGGUAGUCAAGAUGAGAAUUCUAAGGUGAGCGAGCGAACUCUCGUUAAGGAACUCGGCAAAAUGACCCCGUAACUUCGGGAGAAGGGGUGCUCUUUAGGGUUCACGCCCAGAAGAGCCGCAGUGAAUAGGCCCAAGCGACUGUUUAUCAAAAACACAGGUCUCUGCUAAACCGUAAGGUGAUGUAUAGGGGCUGACGCCUGCCCGGUGCUGGAAGGUUAAGAGGAGUGGUUAGCUUCUGCGAAGCUACGAAUCGAAGCCCCAGUAAACGGCGGCCGUAACUAUAACGGUCCUAAGGUAGCGAAAUUCCUUGUCGGGUAAGUUCCGACCCGCACGAAAGGCGUAACGAUUUGGGCACUGUCUCAACGAGAGACUCGGUGAAAUCAUAGUACCUGUGAAGAUGCAGGUUACCCGCGACAGGACGGAAAGACCCCGUGGAGCUUUACUGUAGCCUGAUAUUGAAAUUCGGCACAGCUUGUACAGGAUAGGUAGGAGCCUUUGAAACGUGAGCGCUAGCUUACGUGGAGGCGUUGGUGGGAUACUACCCUAGCUGUGUUGGCUUUCUAACCCGCACCACUUAUCGUGGUGGGAGACAGUGUCAGGCGGGCAGUUUGACUGGGGCGGUCGCCUCCUAAAAGGUAACGGAGGCGCUCAAAGGUUCCCUCAGAAUGGUUGGAAAUCAUUCAUAGAGUGUAAAGGCAUAAGGG
RNAcentral lists this ribosomal RNA (1260 nucleotides) under human gut metagenome. RNAcentral's name for it is "bacterial LSU rRNA". It matches the Rfam family "Bacterial large subunit ribosomal RNA", at positions 1103 to 2365 of the family's 2925-position model. The record is from RNAcentral.